GAUGAACGCUGGCGGCGUGCCUAACACAUGCAAGUCGAGCGGCAGCGAGGGGUGCUUGCACCCUGUCGGCGAGCGGCGGACGGCUGAGUAACGCGUGGGAACGUGCCCCAAAGUGAGGAAUAACUGCCCGAAAGGGUAGCUAAUACCGCAUAUUAUCUUCGGAUCAAAGGAUUUAUCCGCUUUGGGAGCGGCUCGCGUCGGAUUAGGUAGUUGGUGAGGUAAUGGCUCACCAAGCCGACGAUCCGUAGCUGGUCUGAGGGGAUGACCAGCCAGACUGGAACUGAGACACGGUCCAGACUCCUACGGGAGGCAGCAGUGAGGAAUCUUCCACAAUGGGCGAAAGCCUGAUGGAGCAACGCCGCGUGCAGGACGAAGGCCUUCGGAUUGUAAACUGCUUUUAUAAGUGAGGAAUAUGACGGUAACUUAUGAAUAAGGAUCGGCUAACUACGUG
Molecule: ribosomal RNA, 451 nt
Filed under: uncultured bacterium
Lineage: Bacteria
Description: partial 16S ribosomal RNA
Rfam family: Bacterial small subunit ribosomal RNA
Source: RNAcentral